UACGAAGGGGGCUAGCGUUGCUCGGAAUCACUGGGCGUAAAGGGUGCGUAGGCGGGUUUUUAAGUCAGAGGUGAAAUCCUGGAGCUCAACUCCAGAACUGCCUUUGAUACUGAAAGUCUCGAGUAUGGGAGAGGUGAGUGGAACUGCGAGUGUAGAGGUGAAAUUCGUAGAUAUUCGCAAGAACACCAGUGGCGAAGGCGGCUCACUGGCCCAUAACUGACGCUGAGGCACGAAAGCGUGGGGAGCAAACAGG
This 253-nucleotide ribosomal RNA is filed under the name uncultured bacterium. Its description in RNAcentral is "partial 16S ribosomal RNA". It matches the Rfam family "Bacterial small subunit ribosomal RNA", at positions 524 to 776 of the family's 1533-position model. The record is from RNAcentral.